Molecule: non-coding RNA, 876 nt
Organism: Ceratotherium simum simum (southern white rhinoceros)
Lineage: Eukaryota; Metazoa; Chordata; Mammalia; Perissodactyla; Rhinocerotidae
Source: RefSeq, a predicted model, not a curated record
GGGCCAGCCCAAAAAAAAAGACAACAAGGGGAUUAUUAGAAAACUGUUUUCUCAGCAUCUUGCUGAUUUAACACCUAUAUAAUUCCCACACCACACUCUGAUUUUAUUGACUUGGGUAAGUGUACUAUGUGUUUUUUACUUGAAAAACUUACAUAUGUGACUAAAAGUCAUGAACAGUAUCUUUUACUCCGUUAUAAAAUUGUUUUUUCACACAUAUGUAUAAUAAUACAGCAAGAAGCAUAUCUAUCUAGCCAUGAAACAAUGUCUACAAAACUUUAUUCAAAUGAAAGGACUGUUUGCAGAUAAUCGGAUUUAUUGAAUUAUUUAUUUUGAUGAAGCUGAAGGCCACUUUCACAUACUUCAUUUCUAAAGGUGGGCUGAAAUUUUACAGAAUCCUACAUAGUUUCUCCCCAUGUAAUCAAAAUAUUGUUAUUCUGGUUCUAGUGUUUGUCUUUCGGAAAGAAGCACUUUUAGAACAUAAUUUCCUGUCCAGUGUCCACUAUCUGUAGAUUUCUUAGGAACCCAACAAUCAAUUCUUUUUUAAAGGAGAAAAGAAAGAAAAAAAUCCAUUCUUACUUGAAUAGAUGCACAUUAAACUAGUAUUAAUCUAGGAAAAGAUGAUAGGUAGAAAUAUUAUUUUAGUCAUAAAAUUCUUUUUCUAAGAAGCCCAUCUCAAACGUAAACACAUGUGAUCAUUUGAAAUUCCUCUCUUCACUUGGGCACAUCUAAACCAGUAUAGAAAUAAUACACUGCUUGCUUAAUUCUUGGGAACAUAUUUGCAUCAGAAUUUAAAGAUGGGUUUUGAAAUUUAUAACAUUACAUUGUUUAAGAUAUACAAAAAAUCAGUCUUUUACUCAAUAUGUUUACAGCAAAAGA